GAUGAACGCUGGCGGCGUGCUUAACACAUGCAAGUCGAACGGACUUUACAUGAAGCCUAGCGAAUGUAAAGUUAGUGGCGGACGGGUGAGUAACGCGUGGGUAACCUGCCAUAUGCUGGGGGACAACAGUUAGAAAUGACUGCUAAUACCGCAUAAGCGCACAGUAUCGCAUGAUACAGUGUGAAAAACUCCGGUGGCAUAUGAUGGACCCGCGUCUGAUUAGCUAGUUGGUGAGGUAACGGCUCACCAAGGCGACGAUCAGUAGCCGGCCUGAGAGGGUGAACGGCCACAUUGGGACUGAGACACGGCCCAAACUCCUACGGGAGGCAGCAGUGGGGAAUAUUGCACAAUGGGGGAAACCCUGAUGCAGCGACGCCGCGUGAGUGAAGAAGUAUUUCGGUAUGUAAAGCUCUAUCAGCAGGGAAGAAAAUGACGGUACCUGACUAAGAAGCCCCGGCUAACUACGUGCCAGCAGCCGACGG
RNAcentral lists this ribosomal RNA (482 nucleotides) under uncultured bacterium. RNAcentral's name for it is "bacterial SSU rRNA". It matches the Rfam family "Bacterial small subunit ribosomal RNA", at positions 28 to 520 of the family's 1533-position model. The record is from RNAcentral.